Molecule: ribosomal RNA, 433 nt
Filed under: uncultured bacterium
Lineage: Bacteria
Description: partial 16S ribosomal RNA
Rfam family: Bacterial small subunit ribosomal RNA
Source: RNAcentral
AACGAACGCUGGCGGCAUGCCUAACACAUGCAAGUCGAACGAGACCUUCGGGUCUAGUGGCGCACGGGUGCGUAACGCGUGGGAACCUGCCCUUAGGUUCGGAAUAACUCCCCGAAUGGGGUGCUAAUACCGGAUAAUGUCUUCGGACCAAAGAUUUAUCGCCUUUGGAUGGGCCCGCGUUGGAUUAGCUAGUUGGUAGGGUAAAAGCCUACCAAGGCGACGAUCCAUAGCUGGUCUGAGAGGAUGAUCAGCCACACUGGGACUGAGACACGGCCCAGACUCCUACGGGAGGCAGCAGUGGGGAAUAGUGGACAAUGGGCGAAAGCCUGAUCCAGCAAUGCCGCGUGAGUGAUGAAGGCCUUAGGGUUGUAAAGCUCUUUUACCCGGGAUGAUAAUGACAGUACCGGGAGAAUAAGCUCCGGCUAACUCCGUG